UGCAGUCGACGGAGAGCUAAUGACAGAGGAUUCGUCCAAUGGAAUUAGUUUCUUAGUGGCGGACGGGUGAGUAACGCGUGAGGAACCUGCCUCGGAGUGGGGAAUAACACAGUGAAAAUUGUGCUAAUACCGCAUGAUGCAGUUGAGUCGCAUGGCUCUGACUGCCAAAGAUUUAUCGCUCUGAGAUGGCCUCGCGUCUGAUUAGCUAGUUGGCGGGGUAACGGCCCACCAAGGCGACGAUCAGUAGCCGGACUGAGAGGUUGGCCGGCCACAUUGGGACUGAGACACGGCCCAGACUCCUACGGGAGGCAGCAGUGGGGAAUAUUGGGCAAUGGGCGCAAGCCUGACCCAGCAACGCCGCGUGAAGGAAGAAGGCCCUCGGGUUGUAAACUUCUUUUGUCAGGGACGAAGCAAGUGACGGUACCUGACGAAUAAGCCACGGCUAACUACGUGCCAGCAGCCGCGGUAAUACGUAGGUGGCAAGCGUUAUCCGGAUUUACUGGGUGUAAAGGGCGUGUAGGCGGGAUGGCAAGUCAGAUGUGAAAACCAUGGGCUCAACCCAUGGCCUGCAUUUGAAACUGUCGUUCUUGAGUACUGGAGAGGCAGACGGAAUUCCUAGUGUAGCGGUGAAAUGCGUAGAUAUUAGGAGGAACACCAGUGGCG
This 663-nucleotide ribosomal RNA is filed under the name uncultured bacterium. RNAcentral's name for it is "bacterial SSU rRNA". It matches the Rfam family "Bacterial small subunit ribosomal RNA", at positions 56 to 717 of the family's 1533-position model. The record is from RNAcentral.